UCUUUGAGGCAGGGUGAAAUUCCCUACCGGCGGUACAGCCCGCAAGCCUUUACAUUUAGGCAUGACCCGGUGUGAUUCCGGGGCCGACAGUAUAGUCUGGAUGAGAAAAGA
Molecule: non-coding RNA, 111 nt
Filed under: bovine gut metagenome
Description: FMN riboswitch (RFN element)
Rfam family: FMN riboswitch aptamer (RFN element)
About the family: The RFN element is a highly conserved domain that is found frequently in the 5'-untranslated regions of prokaryotic mRNAs that encode for flavin mononucleotide (FMN) biosynthesis and transport proteins. This element is a metabolite-dependent riboswitch that directly binds FMN in the absence of proteins.
Source: RNAcentral